This is a long non-coding RNA of Zingiber officinale, 522 nucleotides long. RefSeq lists it as uncharacterized. The transcript is spliced from 2 exons. Lineage: Eukaryota; Viridiplantae; Streptophyta; Magnoliopsida; Zingiberales; Zingiberaceae. The record is from RefSeq and is a predicted model, not a curated record.
UUUAAAUCAAUCACAUUCACAGUAAUAAUCCCUAAUUCCCUUUCUCCACCUCCGAUCGGGAACCCGUCAGUUCUCCUCGUUCCUUCCGAAGAUCACAGGUCCACCUCCAACAAAAGCCGAACUUGGAAGAUUUGGGAGCAGCGAUGGCCACGGGAUCCGGCCUCUUCAAGUUCCUGCGCCCACGCCUUCGACCGCAGUCGGACGACAUCGCCGCCGCCGCCACCUGGGGCGUCGCGGCUAUCACCACCGCCGUUUGGAUCAUUCAGCCUUUUGACUGGCUGAAGAAGCAGCUCUUUGAAAAACCUGAGCCUAAGAACUGAAAUUUGUGGACAGCAGCAUUGAAGCAAUGGAGGAUGUCCAUGUUGAAAUAAAGAUGCUUCUCUAAGUUUUUUUUUAUGAAUUUACUCUGAAUGUUUUUUUUUUGCCGAAAUAAUGUUUGAGAAAUCAGUCAAGCUUAUAUGAUUUUGGUCAUGCUCUUGUUUUAUUGGAUUUUCAAAAGUUUUGAGACAGAUUUUGGUUGAA